GACCUUGUGGUGCAAGGGCAGUGCAUCUGACUCCCUAUCAAAAGGGUGUGUGUUCAAAUCACACCAGGUCA
RNAcentral lists this transfer RNA (71 nucleotides) under Tinamus guttatus (white-throated tinamou). It matches the Rfam family "tRNA". Rfam says of the family: Transfer RNA (tRNA) molecules are approximately 80 nucleotides in length. Their secondary structure includes four short double-helical elements and three loops (D, anti-codon, and T loops). The record is from Rfam by way of RNAcentral. Lineage: Eukaryota; Metazoa; Chordata; Aves; Tinamiformes; Tinamidae.